Molecule: ribosomal RNA, 466 nt
Filed under: Vreelandella stevensii
Lineage: Bacteria; Pseudomonadati; Pseudomonadota; Gammaproteobacteria; Oceanospirillales; Halomonadaceae
Description: partial 16S ribosomal RNA
Rfam family: Bacterial small subunit ribosomal RNA
Source: RNAcentral
CCUACGGGGAGCAGCAGUGGGGAAUAUUGGACAAUGGGCGAAAGCCUGAUCCAGCCAUGCCGCGUGUGUGAAGAAGGCCUUCGGGUUGUAAAGCACUUUCAGUGGGGAAGAAAGCCUUGGGGCUAAUACCCUCGAGGAAGGACAUCACCCACAGAAGAAGCACCGGCUAACUCCGUGCCAGCAGCCGCGGUAAUACGGAGGGGUGCGAGCGUUAAUCGGAAUUACUGGCGUAAAGCGCGCGUAGGCGGUCUGAUAAGCCGGUUGUGAAAGCCCCGGGCUCAACCUGGGGAACGGCAUCCGGAACUGUCAGGCUAGAGUGCAGGAGAGGAAGGUAGAAUUCCCGGUGUAGCGGUGAAAUGCGUAGAGAUCGGGAGGAAUACCAGUGGCGAAGGCGGCCUUCUGGACUGACACUGACGCUGAGGUGCGAAAGCGUGGGUAGCAAACAGGAUUAGAUACCCGGGUAGUC